Trichomycterus rosablanca is the source of this 434-nucleotide long non-coding RNA. RefSeq lists it as uncharacterized. The record is from RefSeq and is a predicted model, not a curated record. The transcript has 3 exons. NCBI's taxonomy places the organism in Eukaryota, Metazoa, Chordata, Actinopteri, Siluriformes, Trichomycteridae.
UGUUAGCAGCGUUUAUUUUGCAAACGUGGAUUUGUGAAACGUUGAAAUUUACUUAAUGCAACUCAAAUUAAUCAAGUCAUAUUAGUAAUUGAAGAACACAUAACCAGAACAUCUUAAUUCAGGUGUUCUGCUAAAUAUGAGUAAGAAACUACACCAUCAACCAGACAAGUUCAGCCCUGCAUCAGCAAUCCAACAGAUAUGACCAGGACACCUGACCACCAUCACCCUGAGUGGGACGGUAUGGUGGCUAAGUGGUUGGCACUCUCGCCUCACGGCAAGAAGGUCCUGGGUUCGAUCCCCAGGUGAAGAGCCCGGGUCCUUUCUGUGUGGAGUUUGCAUGUCUUUCCCGUGUCCACGUGGGUUUCCUCCGGGUGCUCCGGUUUCCUCCCACAGUCCAAAGACUAAAGUGUAAAAUGUGACGUUAAAAUCCUAAU